This 460-nucleotide ribosomal RNA is filed under the name uncultured bacterium. RNAcentral describes it as "SSU rRNA". It matches the Rfam family "Bacterial small subunit ribosomal RNA", at positions 26 to 518 of the family's 1533-position model. The record is from RNAcentral.
AGAAUCAACGCUGGCGGCGUGCCUAACACAUGCAAGUCGAACGAGAAAGUGGAGCAAUCCAUGAGUAAAGUGGCGCACGGGUGAGUAACACGUGACUAACCUACCCUGGAGUGGGGGAUAACUGAGGGAAACCUUAGCUAAUACCGCAUAAUACCCACGGGUCAAAGGAGCAAUUCGCUCUAGGAGGGGGUCGCGGCAGAUUAGCUAGUUGGCGGGGUAAUGGCCCACCAAGGCAGUGAUCUGUAUCCGGCCUGAGAGGGCGCACGGACACACUGGAACUGAAACACGGUCCAGACUCCUACGGGAGGCAGCAGUGGGGAAUUUUGCGCAAUGGGGGAAACCCUGACGCAGCAACGCCGCGUGGAGGAUGAAGUCCCUUGGGACGUAAACUCCUUUCGAUCGGGACGAUUAUGACGGUACCGGAAGAAGAAGCCCCGGCUAACUUCGUGCCAGCAGCCGC